Molecule: transfer RNA, 73 nt
Filed under: Anaerolineae bacterium
Lineage: Bacteria; Bacillati; Chloroflexota; Anaerolineae
Also listed under: 1 other name
Description: tRNA-Trp
Rfam family: tRNA
About the family: Transfer RNA (tRNA) molecules are approximately 80 nucleotides in length. Their secondary structure includes four short double-helical elements and three loops (D, anti-codon, and T loops).
Source: RNAcentral
AGGGGUGUAGCUCAAUUGGCAGAGCAACGGCCUCCAAAUCCGUAGGUUGAGGGUUCAAGUCCUUCCGCCCCUG